AUUUCCUAUCAAAGCCUACUGCAUAACAAUCUAACUCCCAGGAUCAUUGCCCAGUGGGAAAACGACUUGAAACAGGCAUUCAAAAAUAAAAUGUCUGUCAAAAAUGUCCUCUCCAGAAAUAGAGUGCAUUUAAAACUCAAGCAUCAGUGCGUGAGUGUGUGUCUGGGUAUAUAUAUAUAUAUAUAUA
Long non-coding RNA from Thalassophryne amazonica, 187 nucleotides. RefSeq lists it as uncharacterized. The transcript has 4 exons. The record is from RefSeq and is a predicted model, not a curated record. Lineage: Eukaryota; Metazoa; Chordata; Actinopteri; Batrachoidiformes; Batrachoididae.